CCAGCGAACUUGGCAGAGAUGCCUUGGUGCCUUCGGGAACGCUGAGACAGGUGCUGCAUGGCUGUCGUCAGCUCGUGUUGUGAAAUGUUGGGUUAAGUCCCGCAACGAGCGCAACCCUUAUCCUUUGUUGCCAGCGAUUCGGUCGGGAACUCAAAGGAGACUGCCGGUGAUAAACCGGAGGAAGGUGGGGAUGACGUCAAGUCAUCAUGGCCCUUACGAGUAGGGCUACACACGUGCUACAAUGGCGCAUACAAAGAGAAGCGACCUCGCGAGAGCAAGCGGAUCUCAUAAAGUGCGUCGUAGUCCGGAUCGGAGUCUGCAACUCGACUCCGUGAAGUCGGAAUCGCUAGUAAUCGUGGAUCAGAAUGCCACGGUGAAUACGUUCCCGGGCCUUGUACACACCGCCCGUCACACCAUGGGAGUGGGUUGCAAAAGAAGUAGGUAGCUUAACCCUCGGGAGGGCGCUUACCACUUUGUGAUUCAUGACUGGGGUGAAGUCGUAACAAGGUAAGCGUAGCGAG
Molecule: ribosomal RNA, 521 nt
Filed under: uncultured bacterium
Lineage: Bacteria
Description: bacterial SSU rRNA
Rfam family: Bacterial small subunit ribosomal RNA
Source: RNAcentral